GUCUACGGCCAUACCACCCUGAACGCGCCCGAUCUCGUCUGAUCUCGGAAGCUAAGCAGGGUCGGGCCUGGUUAGUACUUGGAUGGGAGAGCCCAUUUCCUCACAUAUU
This 109-nucleotide ribosomal RNA is filed under the name Urocitellus parryii (Arctic ground squirrel). Lineage: Eukaryota; Metazoa; Chordata; Mammalia; Rodentia; Sciuridae. The record is from RNAcentral.